RNAcentral lists this ribosomal RNA (496 nucleotides) under uncultured bacterium. RNAcentral's name for it is "partial 16S ribosomal RNA". It matches the Rfam family "Bacterial small subunit ribosomal RNA", at positions 29 to 507 of the family's 1533-position model. The record is from RNAcentral.
AUGAACGCUGGCGGCGUGCCUAAUACAUGCAAGUCGAGCGAACGGACGAGAAGCUUGCUUCUCUGAUGUUAGCGGCGGACGGGUGAGUAACACGUGGAUAACCUACCUAUAAGACUGGGAUAACUUCGGGAAACCGGAGCUAAUACCGGAUAAUAUUUUGAACCGCAUGGUUCAAAAGUGAAAGACGGUCUUGCUGUCACUUAUAGAUGGAUCCGCGCUGCAUUAGCUAGUUGGUAAGGUAACGGCUUACCAAGGCAACGAUGCAUAGCCGACCUGAGAGGGUGAUCGGCCACACUGGAACUGAGACACGGUCCAGACUCCUACGGGAGGCUGCAGUAGGGAAUCUUCCGCAAUGGGCGAAAGCCUGACGGAGCAACGCCGCGUGAGUGAUGAAGGUCUUCGGAUCGUAAAACUCUGUUAUUAGGGAAGAACAUAUGUGUAAGUAACUGUGCACAUCUUGACGGUACCUAAUCAGAAAGCCACGGCUAACUACGUG